AGAUUGAACGCUGGCGGCAUGCCUUACACAUGCAAGUCGAACGGCAGCACGGGAGCAAUCCUGGUGGCGAGUGGCGAACGGGUGAGUAAUAUAUCGGAACGUGCCCAGUCGUGGGGGAUAACGCAGCGAAAGCUGUGCUAAUACCGCAUACGAUCUAUGGAUGAAAGCGGGGGAUCGCAAGACCUCGCGCGAUUGGAGCGGCCGAUAUCAGAUUAGGUAGUUGGUGGGGUAAAGGCUCACCAAGCCGACGAUCUGUAGCUGGUCUGAGAGGACGACCAGCCACACUGGAACUGAGACACGGUCCAGACUCCUACGGGAGCAGCAGUGGGGAAUUUGGACAAGU
RNAcentral lists this ribosomal RNA (343 nucleotides) under uncultured soil bacterium. RNAcentral describes it as "bacterial SSU rRNA". It matches the Rfam family "Bacterial small subunit ribosomal RNA", at positions 26 to 373 of the family's 1533-position model. The record is from RNAcentral.